UCAACAAGGAGGAGGCUUGAUGAGGUUGACUGACACAAGGGUGUGUUCAAAGAAGGAGGAGAUCAGAUCCUCUUUCUGAACACUCCAGCUACAGUACUUCUCCACCUGUCUGCUCAUCAAAGCCAAACAAGCCUUGGGGAGAGAGAGUAGGAGCCAAAAAGUGGCAAUGUGGCUCCCAACAGCGGUGGUACUGUUCCUGGGUGCAGCACCUGACCUCUUCUUCAGCCAGCACUUCCGUGACAUCAGAGCAGUCGAACCAUCUCACUGCUCAAAGGGAUUCAUGGUUGACAAAGACUUUUACAGGAACAACAUUCUGAUGGUAUAUGAACGGGACCUACAUCAUUGCCAGCUUGCCUGCACUCAGAACCCUGGGUGUUCCUACUUCAGCUAUGUGGUUAAAGAGUAUAAUCUAUUUGGGUUGUCUGUUUGAGUGGUGGUCACCAGGUCACCCGAUUUGUUCUGGUAGAUACUGUAGUUGAGGGAUGGGGCUGGAGAAAUGUCAGCACUCGUAAAUGCAAAGCUAUGGACUCAUGGACUGACUAUUCAUCGAGAUCGAAAUGAUAUACAGUAUUUGUUUACAAAUACAUUGUUUACAAAAAAAAUGUAAAACAGAGACAUGACAGAAGUGCAUGGGUAUUGUCUUUUACUUUCAAAACAGAUUCCGCUGCUAUCAGAAGUAUUCAGAUGGUCAACCAACUAUGAUAAACAAUCCAGAAGUCAUAUCUGGUUACUCUCGGAAGGCCUGCAGUAAAGUCCAAGUCUCUCCAGGUACUCAUCGACUCAGGGGCUGAUGUGAGUCUCAUGGACGUUACCCCGGCGUCCAAGCUGGGCAUCCCCACUCAACUCCUCUCCAUUCCCAUGGGUGCUCCAGCAACACAAUCCCUCCAUUGACUGGGCUACUGGUACCAUCGUGGGCUGGAGCCCAUCCUACCACACUCAUUGCCUGAAGUCAGCUCUGCCUGCCCCGGGACAUUUUCCUGAGGGCUUGGAAAUUGCCCCCGGACAUCCCCGCCUGCGUCGCAGAGUACCAGGACCUCCGGGAGAUGUAGAAAAGGAGAAUCAAGCAGACCAUUGUAAGGAUGUCUCUGAAAUCUAAUACAGGAGGUGACCUCAAUGACCCAGUGGUAAAGGAACAGAUGUUGGAGCAGAUCAGAAAGGAGUUUGCUAAGGACGGGAACUUCAUCCUAGGCCUACGCUGGAGAGAACUGCUGAAUGGAGACGUUUUUCUCAAAACAGUUGAACUUGGAAGCCCUGAAGAAGGUCAGUGUGGUUCAGGAUGAAGAGGACCAGCCAUGAUGAUGCAACAGGAGAGGGAUGGAAGUUCCAAGAAAACUAAAAUAGUCAAGUUUACUGUAAAUAACCCUAGUACUUUUUAAUAUAUGACCGUAUGUCAAUAACAUUAUCUUAGUUCAUGGCACAUGUUUUUCUUGAGUGAUAGAUAGCUUUAUGCUUAUGAAUGAAAAAUAUGAUGUCAAGUUAUAUUAGGCUAGAUUUAAACUCUACAAUGUUUUACUUUUGUAAUGUAAAAUUAUAAUGUAAGAUUUUUGUUGGUGUAUGAAUGUAAUGUAAUAAUGUUUGUUGUACAUCAGGGCAAUUUGAUUAGUGAAGAGAAGAGGAAUAAAAAGGACAUUUGUGGUUUUUCAAGUCUGUUGUUAAAACAUGUAUGGUGAAGUUUCAGUGAGGUUUCAGUGAGGGAGUUUCAGUUAGGGAUUUUCAGAGUGUAAAAUUCUUGAUAAGGAUGUUACUCACUUAUGGAUGUAGCUGUUGACGUUCUUAAAUAAAAUAUGUUUGAUUGUGACAACAAUAUUACCAUUAUUUUCACCCUCCAGCAAGAAUGGUGAGAUGAAGGCAGUAAUCACAUCAGUGUAGAAUGAUGUGCCCACUUCCAGGU
Oncorhynchus tshawytscha (Chinook salmon) is the source of this 1891-nucleotide long non-coding RNA. RefSeq lists it as uncharacterized. NCBI's taxonomy places the organism in Eukaryota, Metazoa, Chordata, Actinopteri, Salmoniformes, Salmonidae. The transcript is spliced from 8 exons. The record is from RefSeq and is a predicted model, not a curated record.